CCCUUAGAUGUUCUGGACCGCACGCGCGCUACACUGAUGCAUUCAACGAGUCUAAAACCUGGUCUGAUAGGGCUGGGUAAUCUUUUGAAUGUGCAUCGUGAUUGGGAUAGAUGAUUGCAAUUCUUCAUCUUCAACGAGGAAUGCCUAGUAAACGCAAGUCAUCAGCUUGCAUUGAUUACGUCCCUGCCCUUUGUACACACCGCCCGUCGCUCCUACCGAUUGAAUGUUCCGAUGAAUACCAUGGACUGAGAGUAUGAAUGGGUUCGCCUAUUUCUGCUUCUCGGGAAGUGGAGUAAAUCUUAACAUUUAGAGGAAGGAGAAGUCGUAACA
RNAcentral lists this ribosomal RNA (330 nucleotides) under uncultured eukaryote. RNAcentral's name for it is "partial 18S ribosomal RNA". It matches the Rfam family "Eukaryotic small subunit ribosomal RNA", at positions 1470 to 1796 of the family's 1831-position model. The record is from RNAcentral.